Canis lupus familiaris (dog) is the source of this 361-nucleotide long non-coding RNA. RefSeq lists it as uncharacterized. The record is from RefSeq and is a predicted model, not a curated record. The transcript is spliced from 2 exons. Lineage: Eukaryota; Metazoa; Chordata; Mammalia; Carnivora; Canidae.
CAGGGCAGGGCGCAUGCGUAGUGAGCCUCGCGCGCGUCGCCGGCGACGCGGGAACGAACGUUCGGUGAGGCGGCGCGGAGAGGGCAGAGUUUCGACGCCCCGGCUUUCUGCUCGUUUUCCCGGAGUUCCCUGCGGUGGGAGCGUGAGCCGCCCAGGGAGCGGCGACCGAGGCCUUCCCCGAGUCCACAGGUGGCCUUCCUGACAGCAGGAUGUUCCCGUGUGGUCGAUGCUGAUGCUGAUGGGGGGCUCCUGACCCAAGCUGGGUGCAUCAGCUUCCUUCAUUCCUCAUGACUCCAGUGCAGCUCUUCCUGUCCAUGGAUCCUGUCCCUGUGCUUUAAAUAAAACCACCUUUUUUGCACCA